AAGCGCUUGCAAUCAGACUUGCGCCUAGUUGAUCAUCUGGGCUUCUGUCCAGUGCACUCGAUUAGGCUCAGGCCAGCAUCAGUUUGGGUGGUUGGAUAAAGGCUUAGGGAAUGUAGCCCCUUUCGGGGGGUGUUAUAGCCCUAGGUGCAAUGCAGCCUACCUGGACUGAGGACCGCGCUUCGGCUAGGAUGCUGGCGUAAUGGUUGUAAGCGA
RNAcentral lists this ribosomal RNA (213 nucleotides) under Lanzia sp. RNAcentral's name for it is "partial large subunit ribosomal RNA". The record is from RNAcentral. Lineage: Eukaryota; Fungi; Ascomycota; Leotiomycetes; Helotiales; Rutstroemiaceae.